This 778-nucleotide long non-coding RNA is filed under the name Salvia miltiorrhiza (redroot sage). RNAcentral describes it as "long non-coding RNA (SMIL_LNC006125)". Lineage: Eukaryota; Viridiplantae; Streptophyta; Magnoliopsida; Lamiales; Lamiaceae. The record is from RNAcentral.
UCUCGCCUUGCAGCUUCUUCCAGAAACAAUCGCUAUCUUUCUCCCUGCAUCUUUUUCAAUCACCGAAACAAUUUCCAUCUUCACUCUGCAUCUUCGUCAAUCACCCACGUAAUUUGUCGAGUCCAUCUAAAGUUUCAUGAAUUAGUCUACAUACAAAUUUCAAUCUCAGCAAAUCUCACGAAGCUCAAAGAUUUUCCUCGCAUCUCAGCAUUCAAAUUCGUCGAUCACCGAAACAAUCUCCCUCGCUGUGUCCAUCUACGAUUCACGAAUCAGUUUGUGAUUAAUCAAAUUUGAGAGGUACUUGAUUUUCUACAUGUUAAUUUUCUCCCUAAUUUCAUCUCAAUUUAUAUUUCUAAACUAUUCAAAAACCUUGAUCUUUUGUAUAAAUUCAAUGAAUGAGGAAAUGAACCAUCUACCCCAUACCCGUCACAGCCCUCCCCUUAAGCCAAACAAGUUUGCACGCCGGCGAGAGGAAAAAGUCAUGUACGCCAAAAUUUUCAGUUACAAGUUAGUUUUUGCCUAAUCCUUUUUUGAUUGAAUGUAUAGUUUCAAAGAUAAAUAUGUGUGGUCAUCUAUUUAUUUAUUCAAUGAAUCUUGUGUUUUUAUUCUCUGCGAAUUUACCCAGAUAUUGUCUGUGUUUUGUAGUUCUAAUCUGAAUGGGUAAAGCAUAAGAUAUUUAAAUGACUUUUUAUUGUAUAUAGACAAUAUUUAAUUUUCACCAGAAUAACAUGAUGGCUCUGAUCAACUGUUCUCCCUGGCCCUUCUUUUAAAUUGUGGG